UACAUUCAUGGGACACAAUAGUGUUCCCUGAUCCAAUCCAUGUUGCUUUCCCAGGUGUUUGGUCAUCUGGGAAAGUGUCCUUUCAAAACGAAUUAUUGAAUCAGCUGUCUGAGUUGGCCCAGUGCCUUAUUCUUUAAAUAAGUUA
RNAcentral lists this unclassified non-coding RNA (145 nucleotides) under uncultured Tuber. Its description in RNAcentral is "sequence contains ITS1". Lineage: Eukaryota; Fungi; Ascomycota; Pezizomycetes; Pezizales; Tuberaceae. The record is from RNAcentral.